This 534-nucleotide ribosomal RNA is filed under the name uncultured bacterium. RNAcentral's name for it is "bacterial SSU rRNA". It matches the Rfam family "Bacterial small subunit ribosomal RNA", at positions 8 to 524 of the family's 1533-position model. The record is from RNAcentral.
AGAGUUUGAUCAUGGCUCAGGACGAACGCUGGCGGCGUGCCUAAUACAUGCAAGUCGAGCGAACUGAUGGGAGCUUGCUCCCUGAAGUUAGCGGCGGACGGGUGAGUAACACGUGGGCAACCUGCCUGUAAGACUGGGAUAACUUCGGGAAACCGGGGCUAAUACCGGAUAACUCUUUUCUCUGCAUGGAGAAAAGCUAAAAGGUGGCGCAAGCUACCACUUACAGAUGGGCCCGCGGCGCAUUAGCUAGUUGGUAAGGUAAUGGCUUACCAAGGCGACGAUGCGUAGCCGACCUGAGAGGGUGAUCGGCCACACUGGGACUGAGACACGGCCCAGACUCCUACGGGAGGCAGCAGUAGGGAAUCUUCCGCAAUGGACGCAAGUCUGACGGAGCAACGCCGCGUGAGCGAAGAAGGUCUUCGGAUCGUAAAGCUCUGUUGUUAGGGAAGAACAAGUACCGUUCGAAUAGGGCGGUACCUUGACGGUACCUAACCAGAAAGCCACGGCUAACUACGUGCCAGCAGCCGCGGUAAU